Molecule: ribosomal RNA, 441 nt
Filed under: uncultured bacterium
Lineage: Bacteria
Description: partial 16S ribosomal RNA
Rfam family: Bacterial small subunit ribosomal RNA
Source: RNAcentral
CCUACGGUGGGCAGCAGUGGGGAAUAUUGCACAAUGGGGGAAACUCUGACGCAGCCAUGCCGCGUGGGUGACGAAGGAUUUCGGAAUGUAAAGCCCUAUCAGCUGUGACGAUGAUGACAGUAGCUUAUAAAGAAGCCCCGGCUAACUACGUGCCAGCAGCCGCGGUAAUACGUAGGGGGCAAGCGUUUUCCGGAUUUACUGGGGGUAAAGGGAGCGUAGGUGGGAUGGCAAGCUUGUAGUGGAAUCCCGGGGCUUAACCCUGGGAAUUGCUUUUAUAACUGUCAGACUAGAAUGCAGGAGAGGAUGGCGGAAUACCUAGUGUAGAGGUGAAAUGCGUAGAUAUCGGGAAGAACACCAGUGGCGAAGGCGACCAUCUGGAUGGACACUGACGCUGAGGCUCGAAAGCAUGGGGAGCAAACAGGAUUAGAUACCCUAGUAGUC